RNAcentral lists this ribosomal RNA (457 nucleotides) under uncultured bacterium. RNAcentral's name for it is "bacterial SSU rRNA". It matches the Rfam family "Bacterial small subunit ribosomal RNA", at positions 917 to 1382 of the family's 1533-position model. The record is from RNAcentral.
GGGCCCGCACAAGCAGUGGAUUAUGUGGUUUAAUUCGAAGCAACGCGAAGAACCUUACCAGGUCUUGACAUCGAGUGACGUACCUAGAGAUAGGUAUUUCCUUCGGGACACGAAGACAGGUGGUGCAUGGUUGUCGUCAGCUCGUGUCGUGAGAUGUUGGGUUAAGUCCCGCAACGAGCGCAACCCCUGCCAUUAGUUGCUACGCAAGAGCACUCUAAUGGGACCGCCGCCGACAAGGUGGAGGAAGGUGGGGACGACGUCAAAUCAUCAUGCCCCUUAUGACCUGGGCUACACACGUAAUACAAUGGCCGUUAACAACGAGAAGCAAAGCCGCGAGGUGGAGCAAAUCUCCAAAAACGGUCUCAGUUCGGAUUGCAGGCUGCAACUCGCCUGCAUGAAGUUGGAAUUGCUAGUAAUCGUGGAUCAGCACGCCGCGGUGAAUACGUUCCCGGGCCUU